GGGAUCAUUACCGAGUUUACAACUCCCAAACCCCUGUGAACAUACCUAUUGUUGCCUCGGNGGUGCCUGUUCCGACAGCCCGCCAGAGGACCCCAAACCCUGAUUACAUUAAAGAAUUCUUCUGAGUAACCGAUUAAAUAAAUCAAAACUUUCAACAACGGAUCUCUUGGUUCUGGCAUCGAUGAAGAACGCAGCGAAAUGCGAUAAGUAAUGUGAAUUGCAGAAUUCAGUGAAUCACCGAAUCUUUGAACGCACAUUGCGCCCGCUAGUAUUCUGGCGGGCAUGCCUGUUCGAGCGUCAUUUCAACCCUCAAGCCCCCGGGCUUGGUGUUGGGGAUCGGCGAGCCUCCGCGCCCGCCGUCCCCUAAAUCUAGUGGCGGUCUCGCUGUAGCUUCCUCUGCGUAGUAGCACACCUCGCACUGGGAAACAGCGCGGCCACGCCGUUAAACACCCAACUUCUGAAAGUUUGACCUCGGAUCAGGUAGGAAUACCCGCUGAACUUAAGCAUAUCAAUAAGCGGAGGAAAAGAAACCAACAGGGAUUGCCCUAGUAACGGCGAGUGAAGCGGCAACAGCUCAAAUUUGAAAUCUGGCCUUCGGGUCCGAGUUGUAAUUUGUAGAGGAUGCUUUUGGUGAGGUGCCUUCCGAGUUCCCUGGAACGGGACGCCAUAGAGGGUGAGAGCCCCGUCUGGUUGGACACCGAUCCUCUGUAAAGCUCCUUCGACGAGUCGAGUAGUUUGGGAAUGCUGCUCUAAAUGGGAGGUAUAUGUCUNCNGAAGCUAAAUAUUGGCCAGAGACCGAUAGCGCACAAGUAGAGUGAUCGAAAGAUGAAAAGCACUUUGAAAAGAGAGUUAAAAAGUACGUGAAAUUGUUGAAAGGGAAGCGCUCAUGACCAGACUUGGGCUUGGUUGAUCAUCCAGGGUUCUCCCUGGUGCACUCUUCCAGUUCAGGCCAGCAUCAGUUCGCUGUGGGGGAUAAAGGCUUUGGGAAUGUGGCUCCCUCGGGAGUGUUAUAGCCCAUUGUGUAAUACCCUGUGGUGGACUGAGGUUC
RNAcentral lists this ribosomal RNA (1048 nucleotides) under uncultured fungus. RNAcentral describes it as "eukaryotic LSU rRNA". The stretch from base 467 to 1048 matches the Rfam family "Eukaryotic large subunit ribosomal RNA", at positions 1 to 594 of the family's 3401-position model. The record is from RNAcentral. Lineage: Eukaryota; Fungi.